Molecule: ribosomal RNA, 466 nt
Filed under: uncultured bacterium
Lineage: Bacteria
Description: bacterial SSU rRNA
Rfam family: Bacterial small subunit ribosomal RNA
Source: RNAcentral
CAAGUAGCGGAGCAUGUGGUUUAAUUCGAAGCAACGCGAAGAACCUUACCUAAGCUUGACAUCCUUUUGACCGAUGCCUAAUCGCAUUUUUCCCUUCUGGGACAGAAGUGACAGGUGGUGCAUGGUUGUCGUCAGCUCGUGUCGUGAGAUGUUGGGUUAAGUCCCGCAACGAGCGCAACCCUUGCCUUUAGUUGCCAGCAUUAAGUUGGGCACUCUAGAGGGACUGCCAGGGAUAACCUGGAGGAAGGUGGGGAUGACGUCAAAUCAUCAUGCCCCUUAUGCUUAGGGCUACACACGUGCUACAAUGGGUGGUACAGAGGGCAGCCAAGUCGUGAGGCGGAGCUAAUCCCUUAAAGCCAUUCUCAGUUCGGAUUGUAGGCUGAAACUCGCCUACAUGAAGCUGGAGUUACUAGUAAUCGCAGAUCAGAAUGCUGCGGUGAAUGCGCUCCCGGGUCUUGUACACACC